GACGAACGCUGGCGGCGCGCCUAAUACAUGCAAGUUGAGCGAUGAAGCUUGGUGCUUGCACCAAUUUGAAGAGCAGCGAACGGGUGAGUAACGCGUGGGGAAUCUGCCUUUGAGCGGGGGACAACAUUUGGAAACGAAUGCUAAUACCGCAUAAUAACUUUAAACAUAAGUUUUAAGUUUGAAAGAUGCAAUUGCAUCACUCAAAGAUGAUCCCGCGUUGUAUUAGCUAGUUGGUGAGGUAAAGGCUCACCAAGGCGAUGAUACAUAGCCGACCUGAGAGGGUGAUCGGCCACAUUGGGACUGAGACACGGCCCAAACUCCUACGGGAGGCAGCAGUAGGGAAUCUUCGGCAAUGGACGAAAGUCUGACCGAGCAACGCCGCGUGAGUGAAGAAGGUUUUCGGAUCGUAAAACUCUGUUGGUAGAGAAGAACGUUGGUGAGAGUGGAAAGCUCAUCAAGUGACGGUAACUACCCAGAAAGGGACGGCUAACUACGUG
RNAcentral lists this ribosomal RNA (497 nucleotides) under uncultured bacterium. RNAcentral's name for it is "partial 16S ribosomal RNA". It matches the Rfam family "Bacterial small subunit ribosomal RNA", at positions 28 to 507 of the family's 1533-position model. The record is from RNAcentral.